UACGUAGGGGGCAAGCGUUAUCCGGAUUUACUGGGUGUAAAGGGAGCGUAGACGGUGAUGCAAGUCAGAAGUGAAAGCCCGGGGCUCAACUCCGGGACUGCUUUUGAAACUGUGUAACUGGAGUGCAGGAGAGGUAAGCGGAAUUCCUGGUGUAGCGGUGAAAUGCGUAGAUAUCAGGAGGAACACCAGUGGCGAAAGCGGCUUACUGGACUGUAACUGACGUUGAGGCUCGAAAGCGUGGGGAGCAAACAGG
This 253-nucleotide ribosomal RNA is filed under the name uncultured bacterium. RNAcentral's name for it is "partial 16S ribosomal RNA". It matches the Rfam family "Bacterial small subunit ribosomal RNA", at positions 524 to 776 of the family's 1533-position model. The record is from RNAcentral.